UUUCUUUUUCGCAACGGGUUUGCCGCCAGAACACAGGUGUUGUGAAAACCGCCCAUACAAUCCAAAAUGGGGAAGGAAAAGACUCACAUCAACAUCGUCGUCAUUGGACACGUAGAUUCGGGCAAGUCCACCAUUACCGGACAUCUGAUCUACAAAUGUGGUGGCAUUGACAAGAGAACCAUUGAAAAAUUUGAGAAGGAGGCAGCUGAGAUGGGAAAGGGCUCCUUCAAGCAUGCCUGGGUCUUGGAUAAACUGAAGGCUGAGCGUGAGCGUGGUAUCACCAUUGACAUCUCCCUGUGGAAAUUUGAGACCAGCAAAUACUAUGUGACUAUCAUUGAUGCCCCAGGACACAGAGACUUUAUCAAAAACAUGAUUACAGGCACAUCUCAGGCUGACUGUGCUGUCCUGAUUGUUGCCGCUGGUGUUGGUGAAUUUGAAGCUGGUAUUUCAAAGAAUGGGCAGACCCGUGAGCAUGCCCUUCUGGCUUACACACUGGGUGUGAAGCAACUAAUUGUUGGUGUUAACAAGAUGGAUUCCACUGUGGAAAUGCACCAUGAAGCUUUGAGCGAAGCUCUUCCAGGAGACAACGUGGGCUUCAAUGUCAAGAAUGUGUCUGUCAAAGAUGUUCGUCGUGGCAAUGUUGCUGGUGAUAGCAAAAAUGACCCACCGAUGGAAGCAGCUGGCUUCACUGCUCAGGUGAUUAUCCUGAACCAUCCAGGCCAAAUUAGUGCUGGCUAUGCUCCUGUACUGGAUUGUCACACAGCUCACAUUGCCUGCAAGUUUGCUGAGCUGAAGGAAAAGAUUGACCGCCGCCCUGGUAAAAAGCUGGAAGAUGGCCCCAAAUUCCUGAAAUCUGGUGAUGCUGCCAUCGUCGAUAUGGUUCCUGGCAAACCCAUGUGUGUUGAGAGCUUCUCAGAUUAUCCUCCUCUGGGUCGUUUUGCUGUUCGUGACAUGAGACAGACGGUUGCUGUUGGUGUCAUCAAAGCAGUGGACAAGAAGGCUGCUGGAGCUGGCAAGGUCACCAAGUCUGCCCAGAAAGCUCAGAAGGCUAAAUGAAUAUUAUCUCUAAUACCUGCCACCCCAGUCUUAAUCAGUGGUGGAAGAACGGUCUCAGAACUGUUUGUUUCAAUUGGCCAUUUAAGUUUAAUAGUAAAAGACUGGUUAAUGAUAACAAUGCAUCGUAAAACCUUCAGAAGGAAAGGAAAAUGUUUUGUGGACCAUUUGUUUCUUUUUGUGUGGCAGUUUUAAGUUAUUAGUUUUUAAAAUCAGUACUUUUUAAUGGAAACAACAUGACCAAAAAUCUGUCACAGAAUUUUGAGACCCAUUAAAACAAAGUUUAAUGAGAAAAAAAAAAAAAAAA
Otolemur garnettii (small-eared galago) is the source of this 1360-nucleotide RNA transcript. It is a transcript of the gene named elongation factor 1-alpha 2 pseudogene, with no coding region annotated. The transcript has 2 exons. Lineage: Eukaryota; Metazoa; Chordata; Mammalia; Primates; Galagidae. The record is from RefSeq and is a predicted model, not a curated record.